GCUGAGCAUGGUACUACAUGCCUGUAGUCCCAGCUACCUGGGAGACUAAAGCAGGAAAAUUGCUUGAGUCCAGGAGUUUGAGGCCACAGUGAACUAUGAACAUGCCACUGACUCUAGCCUGGGCAACAGGCAAUAGAGUGAGACCCUAUCUCAAAAAAAAAAAAAAAAAGUUCACCAUCAAUAUGUUGACCUCCCAGGAGCAGGAGACCACUAGGUUGCCUAAGGAGAGGUGAAUCGGCCCAAGUCAGAAAAAGAACAGGCCAAAAAUCCCAUGCUGAUGUGUCGUGGGCUAACACUUGUGAAGCCACUGUGCUCCACCCUGGGCAAUAUAACAAGACCUCAUUUCU
Molecule: signal recognition particle RNA, 347 nt
Filed under: Mandrillus leucophaeus (drill)
Lineage: Eukaryota; Metazoa; Chordata; Mammalia; Primates; Cercopithecidae
Description: Metazoan signal recognition particle RNA (ENSMLEG00000001572.1)
Rfam family: Metazoan signal recognition particle RNA
About the family: The signal recognition particle (SRP) is a universally conserved ribonucleoprotein. It is involved in the co-translational targeting of proteins to membranes. The eukaryotic SRP consists of a 300-nucleotide 7S RNA and six proteins: SRPs 72, 68, 54, 19, 14, and 9.
Source: RNAcentral